AGAGUUUGAUCCUGGCUCAGAUUGAACGCUGGCGGCAUGCUUUACACAUGCAAGUCGAACGGUAACAGGGUGCUUGCACCGCUGACGAGUGGCGAACGGGUGAGUAAUGCAUCGGAAUGUACCGUGUAAUGGGGGAUAGCUCGGCGAAAGCCGGAUUAAUACCGCAUACGCCCUGAGGGGGAAAGUGGGGGACCGAAAGGCCUCACGUUAUACGAGCAGCCGAUGUCUGAUUAGCUAGUUGGUGAGGUAAGAGCUCACCAAGGCGUCGAUCAGUAGCGGGUCUGAGAGGAUGAUCCGCCACACUGGGACUGAGACACGGCCCAGACUCCUACGGGAGGCAGCAGUGGGGAAUUUUGGACAAUGGGCGCAAGCCUGAUCCAGCCAUGCCGCGUGUCUGAAGAAGGCCUUCGGGUUGUAAAGGACUUUUGUCCGGGAGCAAAUCCUAGUGGUUAAUAACCGCUGGGUCUGAGAGUACCGGAAGAAUA
This 485-nucleotide ribosomal RNA is filed under the name Chromobacterium sp. AKB-2008-HE160. RNAcentral describes it as "bacterial SSU rRNA". It matches the Rfam family "Bacterial small subunit ribosomal RNA", at positions 8 to 488 of the family's 1533-position model. Lineage: Bacteria; Pseudomonadati; Pseudomonadota; Betaproteobacteria; Neisseriales; Chromobacteriaceae. The record is from RNAcentral.